AACGAACGCUGGCGGCAUGCCUAACACAUGCAAGUCGAACGAGACCUUCGGGUCUAGUGGCGCACGGGUUCGUAACGCGUGGGAACCUGCCCUUAGGUUCGGACUAACUCAGAGAAAUUUGAGCUAAUACCGGAUAAUGUCUUCUGACCAAAGAUUUAUCGCCUUUGGAUGGGCCCGCGUAGGAUUAGCUUGUUGGUGCGGUAAUGGCCUACCAAGGCGACGAUCCUUAGCUGGUCUGAGAGGAUGAUCAGCCACACUGGGACUGAGACACGGCCCAGACUCCUACGGGAGGCAGCAGUGGGGAAUAUUGGACAAUGGGCGAAAGCCUGAUCCAGCAAUGCCGCGUGAGUGAUGAAGGCCUUAGGGUUGUAAAGCUCUUUUAACAGGGAUGAUAAUGACAGUACCUGGAGAAUAAGCUCCGGCUAACUCCGUG
Molecule: ribosomal RNA, 433 nt
Filed under: uncultured bacterium
Lineage: Bacteria
Description: partial 16S ribosomal RNA
Rfam family: Bacterial small subunit ribosomal RNA
Source: RNAcentral